Molecule: ribosomal RNA, 257 nt
Filed under: uncultured soil bacterium
Lineage: Bacteria
Description: partial 16S ribosomal RNA
Rfam family: Bacterial small subunit ribosomal RNA
Source: RNAcentral
AGAUUGAACGCUGGCGGCAGGCCUAACACAUGCAAGUCGAGCGGCAGCACGGGUACUUGUACCUGGUGGCGAGCGGCGGACGGGUGAGUAAUGCCUAGGAAUCUGCCUGAUAGUGGGGGAUAACGUUCGGAAACGGACGCUAAUACCGCAUACGUCCUACGGGAGAAAGUGGGGGAUCUUCGGACCUCACGCUAUCAGAUGAGCCUAGGUCGGAUUAGCUAGUUGGUAGGUAAAGGCCUACCAAGGCUACGAUCCGU